RNAcentral lists this small RNA (54 nucleotides) under Staphylococcus aureus. RNAcentral's name for it is "HMPRFS0000_1248". The record is from RNAcentral. Lineage: Bacteria; Bacillati; Bacillota; Bacilli; Caryophanales; Staphylococcaceae.
UACUAAAACGAUAAUUGCAGCGAUUGAUGAUAUGUCGAUAAUUCCAAUAGGUGG